GAAAAGAGGUUCCAGCUCCACCCUGAUGUUUACGGUGAUAUCUGGAAGAGAUCCCAGGCAGGCACACAGUGGGCACACCAAGCCCUUUGACCUAGUGUUGCAGCCUCCAUGUAGAAGCUGGAAAACCAUGAUGUCACACUUGGCUCAUGACAAAGGCCCACAUGUCAAAGAGGGAGUGCCUUCAUUUGGGUCAUCAGGACACCAGGGGAGCUAGGAACCACGAAGGGGCCAUGAAAGAAGAGAAAUGGAAGCCUCUCCUGAUGACCCAGACCAGGCACAAAAAGUCGUCUCAGUUAUGGCUAUGUGUUAACACCACGGGAGCCCCGCCCAGAACAAUGACAAUUGAACUGAUUGAGCUGGCUGGUGGUGCCCACUAGAUCAAGGACAGAUCCUAUCCACACAGUCUACCAAUCCACAUGCCAGCCUCUGACCACUCAGAAACAGGAUUUCAACAGUCUUUGGGUGCUGCUUAAGGACCAGGCUAACCCUAGAGUCACCAGACACACCCUGUGGUUGGCCUUGCAGUACAUGGUUCAUGUACUCGUGCCUCAGCCCCCUCUACCCGGCCAUGACUUUGAAGCAACAAGCCCUCCUCAACUUCACCUAGAACGCAGGUCCUUCUUCGUGUCCAGGUGGUACAAAUGCCACCCCCACCUGGAAACUUCCUAGAGCCUCAAGGCAGAAGCCCCAUUGUCUACUCCAAUGCAAGAGUUCAAUAGCAAGGAUGAUGACAACGACAAGGAUGGAGGAGAAGCAACAAGCGUUUGACUGUGCCGAUAACUGCCACACUGCAGUGAAAACCAAAGUCACCAGCAUUCCAGGAUCAGCCAGCACCAGCAAAGUACGGAGCUUCUAGCGUGUAGAAACAACUCGUAUUAAAUUAUUUAGCCAGCAAAUGACUAUAAAAGCACCGUGCCAGCAUCAAAGCCACAGAAAGGCCAGAUUCGAGUAACAACAGCACUGUCUGCUUCAAUUCAUUAUUGAAUUUUUUAAGGGCCCACAAAUGGAUGAACACAAUUCAUUGCUUGCUCUGGGGAGCCAGGGUCUCUGGGAGCAUUCACAAGGUAUGCAAGCUCCAUGGGAGAUCACUGUGUGCUGGAGCUGACAGACAAGAGCUGGGCCACACUGCAGACAGCCUUCCGAAGCGUGGUGGGCCUCUCUGUUCAGUCUGGGGGGAAAUUAAUAGUUGACCCCCUGGCCAGUUCUGGCCCAAAAGCCCUGAGCUGCCCUUGAACAUCUGGCCAUGGCUUGCCUUCUCUUUUCUUUGUAUCAGCCAUAACUUAUAAUGUCCUCUCCAUCAUGCAGUCUCCCUUUUUUCUCUGACCCUCUGCAGAGGUCAGGUGGAAAUCUUUGUGUGCAGAUUCCCUGGCAAUUGAAUUUUGAUCCAUUUAAGUCGGCCUGCUUCCUUCUGGACCAGAGCUCUUCUAUCAUGCUAGACACGUCAUCCGCUUCUGAGACAGGACCUUGAAGAGAAUAUAAUGUUUCUAGAAUGAAGUUGGCUUCAUGAACAUGCAGCUGUGGUGCUGAAGCUGCAUCAGUCACAUUGUCCUGGGCUCCUUACCCAGCACCCAAAGCCCCUGGGCCGUCUGCAGAGUCUUUGAGUUGGCUUCUGUUGUCACCUAUGCCCUCCAGCCCCACAGGGGCCAGCAGGAUAAUCUUCACUGUACACACCACCACCCUUCGCCGGUGUUCUGUUUCUACACGGCUAGGUAUAGCAAACCCCUAAACUUGAAGGGGCAUUUACUAGGAGCUAAGGGGCUGUGUUGGGUGGGAUACUGUCCUCCCAAAAUUAAUGUUGCCUGCAACCCUAGAAUAUGACUGUCUUUGCGAAUAGGGUCUUGACAGGUAGAAAAUAGUGAGACUCUUAAGAGGGGGUCAUGUAAAGGGAAGCCUUUCCUUGAGAGAAGCCUUCCUGCCAGCCUGAUUCCAGAGCCGCAUGAGUCCCAAAUAA
This is a long non-coding RNA of Mesocricetus auratus (golden hamster), 1951 nucleotides long. RefSeq lists it as uncharacterized. Lineage: Eukaryota; Metazoa; Chordata; Mammalia; Rodentia; Cricetidae. The record is from RefSeq and is a predicted model, not a curated record. The transcript has 4 exons.